Molecule: non-coding RNA, 21 nt
Filed under: Caenorhabditis elegans
Lineage: Eukaryota; Metazoa; Nematoda; Chromadorea; Rhabditida; Rhabditidae
Source: RNAcentral
UUAACAGGAUUAACAGGAUUC